CAAUAGCGUAUAUUAACGUUGUUGCAGUUAAAAAGCUCGUAGUUGGAUUUCUGGAGGGAGCGUCGGCCCGUAUUUACGAGUGCGUGACGUCUCUGUCCAUCCUUGCGGGAAGGCACGACAUUGAUUUGUUGUGUCGGAUCGCAUCAUUUACUGUGAAAAAAUUAGAGUGUUCAAAGCAGGCUUUCGCUUGAAUACAUUAGCAUGGAAUAAUAAGAUAGGACUUUGGUGCUAUUUUGUUGGUUGAGCCUAAAGUAAUGAUUAAUAGGGAUAGUUGGGGGCACCUGUAUUGCGUUGUCAGAGGUGAAAUUCUUGGAUUUACGCAAGACAAACAGCUGCGAAAGCGUCUGCCAAGGAUGUUUNCAUUAA
This 366-nucleotide ribosomal RNA is filed under the name uncultured eukaryote. Its description in RNAcentral is "partial 18S ribosomal RNA". It matches the Rfam family "Eukaryotic small subunit ribosomal RNA", at positions 592 to 976 of the family's 1831-position model. The record is from RNAcentral.